GGGAUCAGGAUGCUCUGCUGUUAACAAAUCACAAAGUUACACGCAGUUUUAGAUCUUAUCCGUCCAUUUUAGAUCGGUCGAUUCAUAUUGCUUCUUAAUUAAAUCAGUACAAAUCAAUCUCAACCAUUAAUAUUAGAUCGGACGGUCCUGAUUAAAAACAGCGUGAAACCGCGUGAAAAAUUGACAGCAGGAAAUCUUGUUCC
This 203-nucleotide long non-coding RNA is filed under the name Trifolium pratense (red clover). RNAcentral describes it as "long non-coding RNA (TPRA_LNC013779)". Lineage: Eukaryota; Viridiplantae; Streptophyta; Magnoliopsida; Fabales; Fabaceae. The record is from RNAcentral.